This 71-nucleotide transfer RNA is filed under the name Marmota monax (woodchuck). Its description in RNAcentral is "tRNA.Ala". It matches the Rfam family "tRNA". Rfam says of the family: Transfer RNA (tRNA) molecules are approximately 80 nucleotides in length. The record is from RNAcentral. Lineage: Eukaryota; Metazoa; Chordata; Mammalia; Rodentia; Sciuridae.
GGGGUUGUAGCUCAGUGGUAGAGCACUUGCCUAGCAUGCAUGAGGCACUGGGUUUGAUUCUCAGCACCACA